This 301-nucleotide ribosomal RNA is filed under the name uncultured bacterium. RNAcentral's name for it is "partial 16S ribosomal RNA". It matches the Rfam family "Bacterial small subunit ribosomal RNA", at positions 509 to 807 of the family's 1533-position model. The record is from RNAcentral.
CAGCCGCCGCGGUAAUACGGAGGGGGCUAGCGUUGUUCGGAAUUACUGGGCGUGAAGCGUACGUAGGCGGCUUUGUAAGUUAGAGGUGAAAGCCUGGUGCUCAACACCAGAACUGCCUUUAAGACUGCAUCGCUUGAACGUCGGAGAGGUGAGUGGAAUUCCGAGUGUAGAGGUGAGAUUCGUAGAUAUUCGGAAGAACACCAGUGGCGAAGGCGGCUCACUGGACGACUGUUGACGCUGAGGUACGAAAGCGUGGGGAGCAAACAGGAUUAGAUACCCGAGUAGUCCCUGUCUCUUAUAC